ACUCUUACGCAGAAUAUGCUGGCAACAUAUUUAAAUAUAUCAGAAGGCAUUGCUUUCCUAUGUCAGUUUCCAAGAGACGUGGCCACUCCUAAUGAUCUUUUGAUCUCAGCUUAAGAUGCCACAUCACCUCCUCCAGGAAGGCCUCCUUCACCCUUGACAAGCGGUCAAGGGUGCUGCUGGGGCCUGGGCUUCAAAAGCAGCCCCAGCAGGUCCCAGCAGCACCCUGGACCUCGGACCUCCUUCAGCCUGUUGCCUCGUUUGUCUCUCCCACUGGACAGAGAUCCUCUGAAGGUCCUGGUGCCUGAGCCCAUUCCCGCUGUCCCGCUCCCUAGAAAGGCAGGGUCACCUCUCCAGGGCAGAAUUCGCUCUUCCAGCCUCUGCAGCCUCUUAUUCCCGCAGGUCCUCCUGGAGACAAGAGGCAGAGGUAUGGUCCCCGGAAGACUGAAAAAUGAGCUGGCAGACUGGACGCGUCACACGUGCCCCAAGUGGUCUACCCCACGUGUUGACAAUGAUCUUGAGAGCUGAUGGUUAAGUGUUAACUACAUGACUGGCAUAAGCCUCUACUCAUUUAGUCCUCAAAAUACCCUUAUAAGUGCUCUUAUUCUUGCCAUUUAAAAGAUGGGGGACACAAGAGAAAUAAAGCUAGCUAGAGCAAUGGUCGGACUCUGGGAGCACUUGACCUUAACCUCGAUCGACCCACUUCUUAGGAGGCAUCAGGAAGCAGUGAUGCAGGAGGAAAGGAAGUGGAUUCCAAGUCAGCCAGUCAAGUCUAAGCUCUGUAACCUAUCAGCGCACUGGGCUGCAUUUGGCAACUCAUGCACCCUCUCUGAGUGCUCGCUCUGCAAAUCGCACUGGUUUGUUGUGAUGAUCAAAUGAGGUGUGUACUAAGCGAAUGCUGAAACGAUCAAGCCCUGGGCAGAUGCGAGAGGGUGGCAUUAUUAUUUUCCCAGAAUCUCACUUAGCAGUGGAGAGAGAGUUGGAGCUCAGGCAUCCUGCUCCAUCCCCUCUGGUGACGCUAACUGCACUUUAUUGAGACUAUGUUUGGGAUUCUGUCCGGGACUUAACCUCUGUCUCCACAGCACGUGGCUCAGUACCUGGUCCAGAGAGGCAUCGGGUACGUGGUACUAGUCGGUGGCGGUGAGAGUGAGCGUGGCAAUAGGAGGAGAGGCCCCAGAAGCGGCACUUUGGAGUGACUUUCUGGGCGGCUGCAGGACCAGCCUGUGGCCAGCAGAGGGCAGCAGAGGGCAGCAGAGAACCCCCCUUCUUUCCUCCCCCCCCCCCCCCCCCCCCCCCCCCCCCNGCCGGUGUCCGCGAAAGCCCGGGUACCGGCCAGGUCUCCGUGCAUCUCGGACCUUGCGCAGCAUUUGGCCUCCCUCCUAAGGGGUGGAAAUUGCGCUCAGUUUGACUAAAAUGUUUCCCCGAAACUUAGCAGUUUGCACAUUUCGGCCUGAAACCAGAGCAACAAGAGGAGUAGUUUUCGUCACCAGGGCCAUUCCCAUUGUUGGCCACGCCAGGACGGACCUCCGGGCAGUCUGCAGCUCUCCGGGGAAGGCCGGCGGCGCUUCCUACUUCCUUCACACGGAGCGCAGUGCAUUUGACAAAAGGUCUUACCGAAUUUGGAAAGAGUGCCUGGCUUUAGUAGAUUGAGAACUGGGAACUUCUGCUUUUGUUUUGUUUUUAAUAAUGUUUUUUAACAAUGCAGUCAAAGGUCCCUUAGAGCUGCCAUCUACCUAUUAUUUUGAUGUUCUGUCGUUAGUGGAAAGCCGCACCGGCCCGGGUUGGAGUCAUUUAAAGUGAUUGAAUGGCUGGUAAUUAUUUUAGCUAGCAAUGGAAAGGAGGGCCUGCUUUUACUAAUUGAUGGGCCAACCUUAUUAUUUUUUCCAUUUGACACCAAAAGCCUGCUGGAACUAAUGGCCUUUCAAGAGAAGGCAAAAGCUUUCUAUUUAUUUAUUCUCUGGCUUUUACAAGGUUCCAUUUUAAUAUCCCUUAAUUACUCUACAGCAGUUGAAUGAAGGGGUUAAGAGUGUGGGCUUUGGAGUCAGACAAAACCAGGCUUGAAUCCCAGCUAUCCAGCUUACCAGCUGCAUGAACUGGGCCACUUAUGGUACCGCUCGGAGCUUUAAUUUCCUUAUCGGUAAAAUAGCAACACUAAUUCCUGCCUCAAAGGUUUAUUGUGAAGAUUCAAUGAGAUGAUGCAUCUAAAGCACUUAGCCUGGAGCCUGGUACACGAUGUGCGCUCAGUAAAUCAUAGCUCUUAAUAUUACUCGAAAUUGUCCAAAUGCUAAAACCCACACGUGGGCAAUUAGGAAUUCAUCUUGAGGAUAGUCAAUGGCCAUGAUAAAAUGCUCAGAACAAACCCUGAUAAAGUAAUGAGGUUCAGAGGGAUGAGGUCAUUGCCCAAAGUUGGUCAGAAAGUGCUAGAAAGGGACCCGAAGCUCUGUCUGUCUGAGGCUAGAACUAAGCUUCCCCUGUGAACUUUGUUCUGGAAGGGACAGCUUCCCUCCAUCCUGAGAUCUCUCAGAGCCCUGAUGUCAGGGACCUGCCCUGCGCCCCCUUGGAGUCUAGCCCUGAGCCCACUGCUCUGCAGCCAGCUCCCAGGAAGCCCAGGUACAGAUACGCGGCCCCAGGUCACACAGUUGGCUGAGCAAGAACACAUGGAGAAAGAGUGGUAAAUCCAUCCUUCCUUAGCCUUAACCUUGUGCUUCUGGAACCUGCAUCCGGUCAUUCCUAAACAUGGCACAGGAAGUGCACUGAUGAUCAGAGCAGACCCAGCUCACAGUCUAAGGGGGAACUCAGACAAGGGGAUAGUCAGUUGGGAUAAACAUGGGGUGGUGCUGUGAUGGGGACGACCGGAGCGUCAUAGAUGCUCAGAGGAGGGCAUCUAACCCAGGGGUGAGGGUGCAGGUCCAGGAAGGAUGUGUAAAGUCCAUCUGUUCUCUUUGUUGGCCAACAGUAAUAUCACUUGGUCAGUGGCACAAUGCUAUUUUCAUUUAUUUUUUGAACCAACUUUUAUGGAACGAAGUCCCUGUGCCAGCCGCUGUGCUAGGCACGAUACAAGAGAGAGGAGUCAGCCCUGGGUAUUGCCCUUCUGCAAGCUAGCGCUUUCAUUUAGCAAGUGGGUGGCCAUAGUGCUUUUCGGUUUAUUCGGAAUUAUCGAAGCCAUCAGCUUCAGGUGACAGGUAACAAUAAGUCUGAAAAGUUCAUUGGUUGGAUUUCUGCCUGGUUAAAACAUCUAUUGGUUAUUUGUUGUUUUCACAUCACAAAAUGUGUUCGUUCGUGAGCAGGGAAAUAUACCUGAAUUUCUGGAACUUCCUGCAUGGUUAUAUGUUAUAGUGUCAACGAAUGGAGACUUGACGGUUGACCUUCAACUUUUGAGGAUGAAAUCAAAUUCAAGGUCAGUGAUAUGAGAAGACGCGUUAACAGGUUCAUCUGGUAUUUGGCUUCCAUUUUCUUUUUUUUCGUCUUUUCUCGGGCUGUACCCACAGCAUAUGGAGGUUCCCAGGCUAGGGAUCUGAUUGGAGCUGUAGCCACCGGCCUACACCACAGCCACAGCAACGUGGGAUCCGAGCCACGUCUGCGACCUACACCACAGCUCACGGCAAUGCCGGAUCUUUAACUCACUGAGUGAGGCCAGGGAUCGAACCCGCAGCCUCUUGGUUCCUAGUUGGAGUCAUUAACCACUGAAUCAUGAUGGGAACUCCUGGCUUCCCAUUUUUAAAUUCUAGUUUUAUUCCAUUUAGAACCUCGUCAUUUUACAACCAUGGAUUUGUUCUCUCUCUUUUUUUCACUGUAUGUAAACGGAAGCCUGCUUACCCCUUCUUCUGGAACUCCAAAGCAUUUCUCUUUUCAGUAGAAAAGACAAUAUACUCUCAAAGUAUCAAGCUCUUUGGACCUAGAAUUGGAAACAUUCCUACCAUAAUUUCAAUAAUUCUGGAAGUUACUGAGGUUGAGCCAGUUAAAGUGGACAUGUCACCAUUGCAGUUAGGUUUGGGGACACAAAAUCCCAGGGAAAGGGUUGGGAAAUUGGAAAAGGGGUCCUGAUUGUCUUUCCCAAACUGCCUUUUCUGAUAUUAGCAAAAGCUGGAAGCCACUUAACAGGACAUGAGACUGUACUGCUGUUUGCCCCGGAUGCUAUUUCAACGCAUUUCACUUUCCAGCUUCACGGGGAAUGUGUUCAUGGGGUUUGAAAUGUAAUCCUCCGCUGUUGCCUUCAAAGCGUGAGCAACUCAUUACCAGAAAACUAGGUUUUUGUACCAUCUAGUGGCACGACCAAAAAUAGCUGACUCAUAAAUAUUUUUUAAGUUAAUGGUCUUGGAGAAAGUCUCCGAGGGCCCAGCUCACUGUGGAUGGUUUCAUAUAGAAAUUAUAGUGCAGAGAAAUGGUCAGCUCCCUCAUUCUGUUAUUAUUAUCAGCUCUGUGGCUUGAUUCCUCACCUUGUCAUGAGCAUGAGAGGUUUGGGUCUGCAUUGACUCCGGGGUGGGAGCGGGGGUGUCAAGGAUAAACAGCAUACGUGCAUUGCUAGAGCACAACCUCUCCUGCUCUCUUUUUUCCUUUCUGGGACAUCAUUUGAAAGUUCCAGAACUCUCUAAGAAAAAUUUUUCCAAAGUUCAAAUGUGGGAAUUCCCGUUGUGGCUCAGUGGUUAAAGAAUCCAAAUAGGAACCAUGAGGUUGCGGGUUCGAUCCCUGGCCUUGCUCGAUGGGUUAAGGAUCUGGCAUUGCCGUGAGCUGUGGUGUAGGCCACAGACACGGGUCGGAUCCCAUGUUGCUAUGGCUGUGGUGUAGGCCGGGGGUUACAGCUGUGAUUAGACUCCUAGCCUGGGAAUGUCCAUAUGCUGCAGGUGCAGCCCUAGAAAAGACAAAAAGACAAAAUAAAAUAAAAUAAAAAAUAAAGUUCAAAUGUGGUUAAAAAAAAAAAAAGCACAUAAUGUGAAAUUUACCAUCUUAACUAUUUCUAAGUGUACAGUUCAGUCCUGUAAAGUAUUUUCACAAUGUUGCACAGCAGAUUUCCAGAACUUUCCAUCUUGCAAAACGGAGACUCUGUACCAGUGAACAACAACACCCCCCUCCUCCUCCCCCUCAGGAGGUUUUAUCAGGGGAUCACUCAUAGCCGAUCCUUUUAUGGGCCAGAGUUGUUGUUGUUGUUGUUUUCUAAAAGGAAUAAUUGCCGCAAAAACUCCUCUCUCCCUUCCCUGCCCACUACUUGGGAAUAACAAAAUGAAUCUAAAUUAGUGAUGUGUUUAUAUUUUUUAACCAAAUCUCAGAGCUGAGUUCCUGUUUGCCACCAUCCUUGCCAGUGAGAGCCGGGAGCAGAAGUUUUAAGACCUUAAAAUGCAGGAUUCAGGAGUUCCCGUUGUGGCUCAGUGGUUAACAAAUCCGACUAGGAACCAUGAGGUUGCGGGUUCGAUCCCUGGCCUCGCUCAAUGGGUUAAGGAUCCGGCGUUGCCGUGAGCUGUGGUGUGGGUCGCAGACGCGGCUCGCAUCCCAAGUUGCUGUGGCCCUGGCGUAGGCUGGUGGCUACGGCUCCCAUUCGACCCCUAGCCUGGGAACCUCCAUAUGCCGUGAGAGCGGCCCAAGAAAUGGCAAAAAGACAGUAAAUAAAUAAGUGAAAUGCAGGAUUCUGUAUUCUGUAAAAAUAAAAAGUGAAAAUUAACUCUUUUUUGAAUUAAAGGAUCCAGUCAAGGGAAUUUAAGACUCAUCAGGGAAAAGUCACAAAGAGAUCCCAGUGGGCUGGCAAAACGAUUUCCUUAGAAAAGGGAGAGCAGGUUUGGCAUGCUGCCUCUGCCAAGUUUCAAGCUGUGUGGUUGCUAGAGACUGAAUGUUUGGGUCCCCCCCAAAUGUACAUGUUUUGACCUACCCCUCAUUGUGAUGGUAUUAGGAAGUGGGCCUUUGAGAGUGAUUAGGUCACAAGGGUGGAGCCCUUAAGAAUGGGAUUAGUGCCCUUAGAAAAGAAGCCCAGAGGAGUUCCUGUCGUGGUGCAGUGGUUAACGAAUCCAACUAGGAACCAUGAAGAUGUGGGUUCGAUCCCUGGCUUUGCUCAAUGGGUUAAGGAUCUGGCAUUGCGUGAGCUGGGGUGUAGGUCGCAGACGCGACUUGGAUCCUGUGUUGCUGUGGCUGUGGUGUAGGCCGGCAGCUGUAGCUCCGAUUGGACCCCUAGCCUGGGAACCUCCAUAUGCCACGGGUGCAGCCCUAAAAAGACAAAAAAAUAAAUGAAAAAAAAAAAAA
This 6222-nucleotide long non-coding RNA is filed under the name Sus scrofa (pig). RNAcentral's name for it is "lncRNA (ENSSSCG00040010536.1)". Lineage: Eukaryota; Metazoa; Chordata; Mammalia; Artiodactyla; Suidae. The record is from RNAcentral.